This 22-nucleotide microRNA is filed under the name Ixodes scapularis (black-legged tick). Its description in RNAcentral is "Isc-Mir-10-P3_3p* (star (passenger))". The record is from RNAcentral. RNAcentral also lists the same sequence under 1 other name. Lineage: Eukaryota; Metazoa; Arthropoda; Arachnida; Ixodida; Ixodidae.
CCAGGUUAGAUUCUCAGGCCCU